Molecule: transfer RNA, 74 nt
Organism: Zymomonas mobilis subsp. mobilis
Lineage: Bacteria; Pseudomonadati; Pseudomonadota; Alphaproteobacteria; Sphingomonadales; Zymomonadaceae
Rfam family: tRNA
About the family: Transfer RNA (tRNA) molecules are approximately 80 nucleotides in length. Their secondary structure includes four short double-helical elements and three loops (D, anti-codon, and T loops).
Source: Rfam
GCGGGUGUAGCUCAGUUGGUUAGAGCGCCGGCCUGUCACGCCGGAGGUCGCGAGUUCAAGUCUCGUCACUCGCG